Molecule: ribosomal RNA, 253 nt
Filed under: uncultured bacterium
Lineage: Bacteria
Description: partial 16S ribosomal RNA
Rfam family: Bacterial small subunit ribosomal RNA
Source: RNAcentral
UACGGAGGGUGCGAGCGUUAAUCGGAAUUACUGGGCGUAAAGCGCACGCAGGCGGUUUGUUAAGCUAGAUGUGAAAGCCCCGGGCUCAACCUGGGAUGGUCAUUUAGAACUGGCAGACUAGAGUCUUGGAGAGGGGAGUGGAAUUCCAGGUGUAGCGGUGAAAUGCGUAGAUAUCUGGAGGAACAUCAGUGGCGAAGGCGNCUCCCUGGCCAAAGACUGACGCUCAUGUGCGAAAGUGUGGGUAGCGAACAGG